GUGGGGAAUUUUGCGCAAUGGGGGAAACCCUGACGCAGCAACGCCGCGUGAGUGAUGAAGGCCUUCGGGUCGUAAAGCUCUGUCAGAGGGGAAGAAAUGCAGGGGUGCUAAUAUCAUCUUUGCUUGACGGUACCCUCAAAGGAAGCACCGGCUAACUCCGUGCCAGCAGCCGCGGUAAUACGGAGGGUGCGAGCGUUGUUCGGAAUUAUUGGGCGUAAAGCGCGUGUAGGCGGUUUGGUAAGUCUGAUGUGAAAGCCCCGGGCUCAACCUGGGAAGGGCAUUGGAAACUGUCAGACUUGAAUACGGGAGAGGGUAGUGGAAUUCCUAGUGUAGGAGUGAAAUCCGUAGAUAUUAGGAGGAACACCGGUGGCGAAGGCGGCUACCUGGACCGAUAUUGACGCUGAGACGCGAAAGCGUGGGGAGCAAACAGGAUUAGAUACCCCUGUAGUCC
RNAcentral lists this ribosomal RNA (451 nucleotides) under uncultured bacterium. Its description in RNAcentral is "partial 16S ribosomal RNA". It matches the Rfam family "Bacterial small subunit ribosomal RNA", at positions 354 to 796 of the family's 1533-position model. The record is from RNAcentral.